Molecule: long non-coding RNA, 223 nt
Filed under: Elaeis guineensis (African oil palm)
Lineage: Eukaryota; Viridiplantae; Streptophyta; Magnoliopsida; Arecales; Arecaceae
Description: long non-coding RNA (EGUI_LNC046868)
Source: RNAcentral
UUCACUGAAUUGAUUCGACAUGAGAAACAUCUUAUGGAAUUCAGAUGUCAAGAGAUGCUUCUCUAGUGGGGGUUAUGCAUGUGGUCCUUAGACCUGAGACCACCAUGGUACCUUGUGCAUAUGAAACCAUAGUUUUGGUUCAUACUCAUUCAUGACUUAGUCAUGUAUGGGAUGUUCUGAAUAUGGUGAAUUAUGUAUGAAGAUUAUGAGUAGGUCAAUAUAG